Molecule: unclassified non-coding RNA, 218 nt
Filed under: uncultured Tomentella
Lineage: Eukaryota; Fungi; Basidiomycota; Agaricomycetes; Thelephorales; Thelephoraceae
Description: sequence contains ITS2
Source: RNAcentral
ACACCUCAACUCCUCAUGGCUUGCCAUGAUGAGCUUGGACUUUGGGGGACUUGCUGGCCUGCAGUCAGCUCCUCUCAAAUGAAUCAGCUUACCAGUGUUUGGUGGCACCACAGGUGUGAUAAACAUCUACUCUUGUGGCUUUCCGCCAGGUAACCUUCAGCAAUGGAGGUUCACCGGAGCUCAUAAACGUCUCUCCUCAGUGAGGACAGAUUUUGACC